UGCUUGCAAUCCGCUGACGACCGGCGAACGGGUGCGUAACGCGUAUGCAACCUACCUUUUACAGGGGAAUAGCCCAAAGAAAUUUGGAAUAAUACCCCAUAAGAUCUUUGAUUGGCAUCGAUCAAAGAAGAAAACUCCGGUGGUAAAAGAUGGGCAUGCGUCCUAUUAGUUAGUUGGUAAGGUAACGGCUUACCAAGACUUCGAUAGGUAGGGGUCCUGAGAGGGAGAUCCCCCACACUGGUACUGAGACACGGACCAGACUCCUACGGGAGGCAGCAGUGAGGAAUAUUGGACAAUGGAGGCAACUCUGAUCCAGCCAUGCCGCGUGCAGGAAGACUGCCCUAUGGGUUGUAAACUGCUUUUAUACAGGAAGAAUUGCAUCUACGUGUAGUUGCUUGACGGUACUGUACGAAUAAGGAUCGGCUAACUCCGUGCCAGCAGCCGCGGUAAUACGGAGGAUCCAAGCGUUAUCCGGAAUUAUUGGGUUUAAAGGGUCCGUAGGCGGUUUUUUAAGUCAGAGGUGAAAUCCUGCAGCUCAACUGUAGCAUUGCCUUUGAUACUGAAAGACUUGAGUUAUUGUGAAGUAGUUAGAAUGUGUAGUGUAGCGGUGAAAUGCAUAGAUAUUACACAGAAUACCGAUNGCGAAAGCAGAUUACUAACAAUAUACUGACGCUCAUGGACGAAAGCGUGGGUAGCGAACAGGAUUAGAUACCCUGGUAGUCCACGCCGUAAACGAUGGAUACUAGCUGUUCGAUCAACAUUGGUUGANUGAGUGGUUAAGCGAAAGUGAUAAGUAUCCCACCUGGGGAG
This 810-nucleotide ribosomal RNA is filed under the name uncultured Sphingobacteriales bacterium. Its description in RNAcentral is "SSU rRNA". It matches the Rfam family "Bacterial small subunit ribosomal RNA", at positions 77 to 880 of the family's 1533-position model. The record is from RNAcentral. Lineage: Bacteria; Pseudomonadati; Bacteroidota; Sphingobacteriia; Sphingobacteriales.